This 253-nucleotide ribosomal RNA is filed under the name uncultured bacterium. RNAcentral's name for it is "partial 16S ribosomal RNA". It matches the Rfam family "Bacterial small subunit ribosomal RNA", at positions 524 to 776 of the family's 1533-position model. The record is from RNAcentral.
UACGUAGGGUGCGAGCGUUGUUCGGAAUCACUGGGCGUAAAGGGCGUGUAGGCGGCUUUGCAAGUCGGAAGUGAAAGCCCACGGCUCAACCGUGGAACUGCUUUCGAUACUGCAUUGCUUGAGUACGGGAGAGGAAAGCGGAAUUCCCAGUGUAGAGGUGAAAUUCGUAGAUAUUGGGAAGAACACCGGUGGCGAAGGCGGCUUUCUGGACCGAUACUGACGCUGAGACGCGAAAGCGUGGGGAGCAAACAGG